Molecule: RNA transcript, 2474 nt
Organism: Tympanuchus pallidicinctus (lesser prairie-chicken)
Lineage: Eukaryota; Metazoa; Chordata; Aves; Galliformes; Phasianidae
Gene: DAPL1
Gene name: death associated protein like 1
Exons: 6
Source: RefSeq, a predicted model, not a curated record
CAAUUUAUUAGAAAAGAAUUCCUUAACGGAUUUUUAAAAAAAUAUACAUUUAAAUACUGAAAACGAAAGUGUGAAUGAAUGUACCAAACAGUUACAGACUGGGUACGUCCACUUCCAGUUCAGUGCUCCAUUCUAAGGUUAUGUUCACACAUUCACCGUGAGCGAUGCUACUUUUGCACGGGCCAUUGAUACGGAUGAUGCUAAUUCUACAAAGUGUAAAACAGGAUUAAGGACUGUAACUCUGGGAUUAUAAACAUCACAGAAAAGACUCGGAAAAUCUUACCGACAAGGCGGUUAUUCAGUACAGAUCACGUCAAAAACCCCGUGUGGAGCAGGAAAAGCCGUUACGGAGUUCUGCCAUUGAAGGCAGCUCCGUUCCGUUCCCGCAGUCUCUCCCCCGAGGCGCCGCACGGCGAGCUGCCAGCGGACGGAUCGCCGUGCUGCGGUAACACCGCGACGAAGCGCCGGGCUCUUCUUUAAGAAGAGAAGUAAGUUACAAUUAACUACGUGCGUUACGUAAAGUGACACGUGAGAAACCAGCUUGUGCCACCCGCGACGGGAACUCCUCGCACGGAGCCACACCACACCGAGCAUCACGAGGCGUGCUCGCCGUUCGCUGCUGCGUUGGAGGCGAUGUCUGGCUGUGCAGCUUUAUCACUGAUUGGUUCUUUCCUCCCUGAACGCGCUCCGUAAUUACCGCAGCGCAGCCGCCCCGCCCGGCCUCCCCGAGCCCGGCGAUGGCUCGCAGGACGCUCCGAGAGCCGCUCGCGGUGCCGGGCGGCCGCGCUCCCUCAGAGACGUCUCAUUUUGCAGUGAUUGCCCAAACAACGGGUCUGUGGUGGAUCUGCAGCUUCAGAGCUGGAGGUGUGAGAGUGUCUAAAAAGCAAGAAGCCAUACCUGCUGGGAGAAACACUGGGCCCAAGGGAAGGGACAAGACAAGUGUUGUCAGUAUUUCAAAAAUGCACCACGUGGAUGUCAUGCUGCGCAAAUGGAACAACAGAGAAGAUGCAAUCUCCUUUACUGCUUCCAGGCAAUCUUGCAGAAGUUAAACAAGGGGUUAACACUUAUCUGAAGAUCUGCAGAUGAAAUAGAAAACCUGUUGGACAUGGCCUCGCUGCAGAAUAGAGGGAAGAGUUCUCUGCAGGAAGAGGUAGAGCUGCCUUUGUUCUGGGACAGGUCUCCAGUUCCUGAGCUUCUGGAGUCAAAAUGAAGGAAGUGGCAGACAGCGAACCACUGCUGGUGUGCCCCGAGAGUCUUCAUCUCCAUGCUCUGCCUCUGUGAUAUCAUACAAGGCAGUUGUGCCAGAUGUUCUUGUGAGGAUGCCCUUGUUCUGUGUCGGGCUGCCCCUUGUUUCUGAGCACAGACAUGGGUCCUCUCUUCUGCUGCGCACAGAUAUUCUGAAAGAUGCUGCGUGAAAUGCAUGCAUAGAUAGAAAAUGUUCUAGAAUAGUCUGGCGCUGUAGUAAUUAUUUGGCAGUUGAACUCAGAUUUAGUUUUUCAUGAUGAAUUAAACAUGAACAUAAAUCAUAGUUUGCUCAGCAUAGUUUGCUCAGUAAAUGUUUUGUACUGUCCCUACAUUUUCCUUCUUUGGUGUGAGGAAGAUUAAUCUUUUUGGUAAUUAUAUGAAACUAUGUUGUUGAAUGGUAUGUAGAGAAGCUGAGCUGUUUGGCCGGGAUGCAGGGAAUGGCUGAAGCAUCGGGUGCUUGGGAUGUAAAAGGCAAACAGUUUGAGUUUGGGAAGGAAAAGCACAUCAUAUUCUACUAACGUUAUUGAGGUUGUGCUCAUCAUGGUGGCACGCAGACUGCCACUGCUAAAACUCUGUCUGCACCUAUAAAAAACAUCACUUUAAAGCCAUUAAUGUGAGAUGGUUUCAAUGUACUGGUGACUUACUGGAGAUAAUGCUCUGUAGUGGUUACCUUGAUACAGCCCAUCGGGGUUACCACAGCUGCACCAGAGGAAAAAUAUCUGUACCUCAUUUCCAGUAGGAUUUGGCACCAGCAGUGCAGUUACAACUCACCACUUGUGGUAUAACAUUCCUCCCCACUCUUGGAAUUAAGAGAUCUUAAUUUCAGCAUUAAAAGCCGGCUAGCUUGACUACUGAGCUACUCCAAUUCACAGACUCUGAGUUACGCUGAGAUCUCAUCACCAGGUACAUUCUAUCUAUUUGGUGUUCAGUUCAAGAUGUCCUACUUUAAAAGCAUGAGGUGAAUGCUGAGAUUUUGAAGUAGAAUUCUCCAGUUGUGAAAUAAGAGAUUACUAAGUAACAAUUAAAGCAUUACUUGAGGAACACAGCUGAAUUAUUUAUACAGGCUAAAGCUCCGAGGGCCCUUGAUGGUGGGUUAGAAGCGGACACCCAAGUUGCCUUCAGCCAUCCGUAUGUCCUUUGGGCUGGGAGCCUCGCUCCUGUGACACGUUCCUCAUCAAGCGCAGCUUGGUUUAUCCCUGCAGUUGUCAAAACCACUGCAUUGAGGUGAA